CCAAUCAGCGAUGGCGGAACAAACAAACAGGGAAGUGCUCACGGUGAGCUUAGAAACAACUAAUACAUUCACAAAUUAUGCAUCCAAACAUCGCAAGGAAAACGGAUCAACGUACACGUUCAAUCUGACACAGAAUGUAACGACCCGAGCCGGACAAAUGACUUCUCAGAAGAACCACCGGCUCCAGAAACGUCAGGACGACUAUCCCAGAAAACACCGACAACAACAAUCAAAUAUAUAUAAACACACCAAACAGGUUCAAGGCAAAUGUAUAUAUCGUCAGAUUAAAUGAAAAUCCAAAGAUGUCGUAGGCACGAAAGAUAAGGAAAACUACAUACACGGCCGUGUCUGUGAUUUUGAUCCUUCAUCUGCAGACAGCACCUGCCAGGUGAUCACCGAGACCGGCCCAGACACAACCACCACUGCCCCCUCUCUGCCCCCCCUCCAAGCAGUGAGAUACUGAAGUGUAUCCUCUACCAGAGACAACAGCUACCCAUGACCAGCUGGUGUACUCUCAGAACAGACAGCAAGCUGCCAUGCAGAAUGAGGUGGUGGUGGGUUGGAGGCCCGGUCAGUCCACCACAGGAGGCCUGGACUGGAGGUGGUGCCAGCGUACCUUCCAAGACCUUGAGGAGGUUUCUCCAACAACUGGAGGUGCUCUUCUCCCUCUCCCUGGUCCCCCGCGUGCUCCUCCUCCUCGGUGGCUCCCUCCUCCCCAAGGAGCUGUACGAGGUCAACAUGGAGGAGGUGAUACUAUCCGCCGGUGACCGCAGCCUCCGCAUCUCCUUCUGCCUUAGGCAUCUCUUCCAAACUGUUGUCUGACGCUGAACCUGUCCAGCUCACGGCCACGACGGUCAUGGUUCUGGCCCACAGGGACUGUGGCGUGGGGUGGUUCCGGGCCAAACUGGAUUUUACGGUCCCCACGCGGGUGAAGAGACAAGUUAUUGCUCUGUCUUGUGACACUAGUAGUGUGUUUGGGCCCUUUCAGGGAGGAGGGCAGACUGACUGGCAGGACUAUGUGUGAUUUCAGGCCCCCAUUGUUAUCAAAGUCUUCAGCAAGGGACAAGGAAAGGAGCCACAGCCAUAGUAUGAGAUGAGACAGGAACCUGUGAUCACAAAGCGUUUCUCUGAGUAGGAGUGCUGAUCUAGGGUAAAGCUGGGAUGAUGAACUGAAAAUCACUGACACCAAUCACUUAUCGGAGGCAUUUUGCUGAUAUCGUUCAUUACGAUAAGUAGCCUACACUAGAGAGAUGUGAUGUUUGAAAUGAAUACGUUUCCUAAUAUGGGACAAUUGAUGACUACAACCAUCAAACUAGUAUUUUAAAGGAUCAUUUAAAACUGUGGUGUACAUGGUUAUAAAUGUAUUGUUCUAUUUAUCCAGAUGUUUGUCCAUAUGGCCCAGCACUGAUCUAGGAUCAGGUCCCCGUCUAUAUAAACCUGGUCAUACUGAUCUAAAAGGCCAAACUUGAGUGCUGAUUUCAGGUCAGUUUGACCUUUUUAGGUCACAAUGACUAACAUUAUAUGGACAGACGGUACCCGAUUCUAGAUCAGCACUCGGAUGAUUUGUGACUACAGACCAAGAGGUGUUGACCGAGCGGAUUGACAUGUGUGCACCAUACCGGUCUCUCUCAGGGACCACUGUCUCCCUGUAACCCUGAGCCCAGUACAGGGACUAGGUUCUUAAAGGUUCAUAGGAAUGACUGGCGUCAUCUGUACAGAAUGAUUUUUAAUGAAUGAUAUGUUGUCUUCUUAGGUAUUGACGUUUCGCUUGGGUAUGUUGUAAUGAAAGCAGUGUUGGUGCUGUGACUGUAUAGAGCUAAAUGACUUUGUGCACUGUAUGCCUACUUGUCAUCCGGUUGAGACUCAACACAGGCUGUACCUGUAAAAUGUCAUGUCUUGGUUUUCAAUUGCUUAAAUGUACGAAACAAUCUUUGGGAAAUAUACAGCACUGUAUGUCAGUCUAAGCUGGAUCACUAAAGUAUUUAAGGUUUAUUUGAAUUAUACACAUUUUGCAGCUAAAAGCAGAAUUAAUUGCAGCACACAUAGGCCUAAGUCUUGUGUUCAACAUCUUGUGAAUUAUUGACUUGUGGAUGUUAAAUUUGUUUAAUUUCGAUCCUCAUAAAGCUGACACCUUAGUGACGGCUAGUCUUCCUGGGGUCCACAGAAAAUGCAUCAUGGUUUUCUGGACAUGUUUUUAGUCUAAGACGUAGCCUAAUCUCAUGCUCAAUGUUUAGUUCAGGACUAGGCUUAAGCUGUAUCCAGGUCACUCCUGGAAACCAGCCCCACAAAUAUUAGACACUACAGCAUGUGUCAAACUCAUUCCACGGAGGGCCCAGUGUCUGCGGGUUUUCACUCCUCCCUUGUACUUGAUUGAUGAAUU
Long non-coding RNA from Coregonus clupeaformis (lake whitefish), 2380 nucleotides. RefSeq lists it as uncharacterized. The transcript has 3 exons. The record is from RefSeq and is a predicted model, not a curated record. Lineage: Eukaryota; Metazoa; Chordata; Actinopteri; Salmoniformes; Salmonidae.